This 686-nucleotide ribosomal RNA is filed under the name uncultured bacterium. RNAcentral's name for it is "bacterial SSU rRNA". It matches the Rfam family "Bacterial small subunit ribosomal RNA", at positions 8 to 689 of the family's 1533-position model. The record is from RNAcentral.
AGAGUUUGAUCAUGGCUCAGAUUGAACGCUGGCGGCAUGCCUUACACAUGCAAGUCGAACGGUAACAGGUCUUCGGACGCUGACGAGUGGCGAACGGGUGAGUAAUACAUCGGAACGUGCCCAGUCGUGGGGGAUAACUACUCGAAAGAGUAGCUAAUACCGCAUACGAUCUGAGGAUGAAAGCGGGGGACCUUCGGGCCUCGCGCGAUUGGAGCGGCCGAUGGCAGAUUAGGUAGUUGGUGGGAUAAAAGCUUACCAAGCCGACGAUCUGUAGCUGGUCUGAGAGGACGACCAGCCACACUGGGACUGAGACACGGCCCAGACUCCUACGGGAGGCAGCAGUGGGGAAUUUUGGACAAUGGGCGAAAGCCUGAUCCAGCAAUGCCGCGUGCAGGAUGAAGGCCUUCGGGUUGUAAACUGCUUUUGUACGGAACGAAAAAGCUUCUCCUAAUACGAGAGGCCCAUGACGGUACCGUAAGGAUAAGCACCGGCUAACUACGUGCCAGCAGCCGCGGUAAUACGUAGGGUGCGAGCGUUAAUCGGAAUUACUGGGCGUAAAGCGUGCGCACGCGGUUAUGUAAGACAGAUGUGAAAUCCCCGGGCUCAACCUGGGAACUGCAUUUGUGACUGCAUGGCUAGAGUACGGUAGAGGGGGAUGGAAUUCCCGCCGUGUAACAUUGAAAUUG